Molecule: small RNA, 299 nt
Filed under: Pongo abelii (Sumatran orangutan)
Lineage: Eukaryota; Metazoa; Chordata; Mammalia; Primates; Hominidae
Description: retained intron
Source: RNAcentral
CAAGAAGUCAGGUUGACUAGCAAGAAUUCUGCUUCUGCAACUUGGAGAAGAGAUUUAGAAUUAUGUAUCUUUUGUUACAGAUAUACAGAUAUACAAAUAUUAUUUUUGUUGUUGCUGGAAGGCUGAAGAUGGAGGGAAUCUGAUAAAGACAUCUUAUAAAUUCAACAGACACAAAAAAUUUGAUCUCCCAUAAGCAACUGUGAAAUUACAAUAACAGAUCCUGAGAAUUUCUACAAUUCUAGUUUAGUUUUUUCAAGGCGAAACAUGGCAAAGAUGUUUAGUUUCAUCCUUGUUACCAC